CCCUUAGAUGUCCUGGGCUGCACGCGCGCUACACUGAUGUGUCCAGUAAGCACCUAACCUCUUCCGAAAGGAACGGGUAACCUUUGCAAAGCACAUCGUGAUGGGGAUAGAUUAUUGCAAUUAUUAGUCUUGAACGAGGAAUUCCUAGUAAGCACAAGUCAUCAGCUUGUGUUGAUUACGUCCCUGCCCUUUGUACACACCGCCCGUCGCUCCUACCGAUUGAAUGUUCCGGUGAGCUCUUCGGACUGCGCGGUCUGCAGUUUCUGCGUUCCGUGCGGAAAGUCGCGCAAACCUUAACAUUUAGAGGAAGGAGAAGUCGUAACA
RNAcentral lists this ribosomal RNA (324 nucleotides) under uncultured eukaryote. Its description in RNAcentral is "partial 18S ribosomal RNA". It matches the Rfam family "Eukaryotic small subunit ribosomal RNA", at positions 1470 to 1796 of the family's 1831-position model. The record is from RNAcentral.